This 440-nucleotide ribosomal RNA is filed under the name uncultured bacterium. RNAcentral's name for it is "partial 16S ribosomal RNA". It matches the Rfam family "Bacterial small subunit ribosomal RNA", at positions 338 to 795 of the family's 1533-position model. The record is from RNAcentral.
CCUACGGGAGGCAGCAGUGGGGGAUAUUGCACAAUGGGGGAAACCCUGAUGCAGCGACGCCGCGUGGGUGAAGAAGCGCCUCGGCGCGUAAAGCCCUGUCAGCAGGGAAGAAAAUGACGGUACCUGACUAAGAAGCCCCGGCUAACUACGUGCCAGCAGCCGCGGUAAUACGUAGGGGGCAAGCGUUAUCCGGAUUUACUGGGUGUAAAGGGAGCGUAGACGGUCCUGCAAGCCAGAUGUGAAAGCCCGGGGCUCAACCCCGGGACUGCAUUUGGAACUGUAAGGCUAGAGUGUCGGAGAGGCAGGCGGAAUUCCUAGUGUAGCGGUGAAAUGCGUAGAUAUUAGGAGGAACACCAGUGGCGAAGGCGGCCUGCUGGACGAUGACUGACGUUGAGGCUCGAAAGUGUGGGUAUCAAACAGGAUUAGAUACCCUAGUAGUC